AGCUAAUAGAUACCCAGGUAGUCCACGCCCUAAACGAUGUCUACUAGUUGUUGGUGGAGUAAAAUCCAUGAGUAAACGCAGCUAACGCGUGAAGUAGACCGCCUGGGGAGUACGGUCGCAAGAUUAAAACUCAAAGGAAUUGACGGGGGCCCGGCACAAGCGGUGGAUUAUGUGGAUUAAUUCGAUGCAACGCGAAAACCUUAACCUGGCCUUGACAUGCCACUAACGAAGCAGAGAUGCAUUAAGGUGCCCGUAACGGGAAAGUGGACACAGGUGCUGCAUGGCUGUCGUCAGCUCGUGUCGUGAGACGUUGGGUUAAGUCCCGCAACGAGCGCAACCCUUGCCAUUAAUUGCCAUCAUUUAGUUGGGCACUUUAAUGGGACUGCCGGUGACAAACCGGAGGAAGGUGGGGAUGACGUCAAGUCCUCAUGGCCCUUAUGGCCAGGGCUUCACACGUAAUACAAUGGUCGGUACAGAGAGUUGCCAACCCGCGAGGGGUAGCUAAUCUCAGAAAGCCGAUCGUAGUCCGGAUUGUUCUCUGC
This 542-nucleotide ribosomal RNA is filed under the name uncultured bacterium. Its description in RNAcentral is "bacterial SSU rRNA". It matches the Rfam family "Bacterial small subunit ribosomal RNA", at positions 767 to 1308 of the family's 1533-position model. The record is from RNAcentral.